GAAGAUGGACGGGUCGUCACCAAUGUGUGGGUUGUCGGUGCCGCCUGCGAUGCUGAAGCCCAGACCUGAGUUGCCCUGGGCAGAAGGAGGGGAGGAGCACACGUCUGAACCCC
Molecule: long non-coding RNA, 113 nt
Organism: Lynx canadensis (Canada lynx)
Lineage: Eukaryota; Metazoa; Chordata; Mammalia; Carnivora; Felidae
Exons: 3
Source: RefSeq, a predicted model, not a curated record